RNAcentral lists this long non-coding RNA (385 nucleotides) under Ananas comosus (pineapple). Its description in RNAcentral is "long non-coding RNA (ACOM_LNC011579)". Lineage: Eukaryota; Viridiplantae; Streptophyta; Magnoliopsida; Poales; Bromeliaceae. The record is from RNAcentral.
AAAAAACAUACAGGGAUAUGCUUUUAGUUCUCCCGUGAGACCGUAAAAUAUUGACGUACCAAACCAAUAAUAAAACUCUCUUUAUUAUAGACAUAAUAACUUUCACAUAUAAAUUAUUCUAACUUACACACUCACUAAUACAUACACUCAAAAGACUACAAGUCUAACCCACUCACUUCACCACUCCACUACACCUCACAACACUUCCUCACACACACACACUUGGUGUGUAGGCCUCCCACCUAUUUAUAGACCUCCAACCCAGCCACUUGAGCACUCUAGAGUAUUCUAGAGCAUUUGUUUCUAGAACCUUUUAAAAUACUCUAUUAGAAAAUAAAAGAAAGAGUCACUAGUUCUAAAGUAUUCUAAAGAGAGAGAAUACUUG